GACGAACGCUGGCGGCGUGCCUAAUACAUGCAAGUCGAGCGAAGUUUUUCUGGUGCUUGCACCGGAAAAACUUAGCGGCGAACGGGUGAGUAACACGUAAAGAACCUGCCUCAUAGACUGGGACUACUAUUGGAAACGAUAGCUAAUACCGGAUAAUAGCAUUAACUGCAUGGUUGAUGUUUAAAAGUUUGUUUUGCUAACACUAUGAGAUGGCUUUGCGGUGCAUUAGCUAGUUGGUGGGGUAAAGGCCUACCAAGGCGACGAUGCAUAGCCGACCUGAGAGGGUGAUCGGCCACACUGGGACUGAGACACGGCCCAGACUCCUACGGGAGGCAGCAGUAGGGAAUCUUCCGCAAUGGGCGAAAGCCUGACGGAGCAACGCCGCGUGAGUGAAGAAGGAUUUCGGUUCGUAAAGCUCUGUUGUUAGGGAAGAAUGAUUGUGUAGUAACUAUACACAGUAGAGACGGUACCUAACCAGAAAGCCACGGCUAACUACGUG
Molecule: ribosomal RNA, 499 nt
Filed under: uncultured bacterium
Lineage: Bacteria
Description: partial 16S ribosomal RNA
Rfam family: Bacterial small subunit ribosomal RNA
Source: RNAcentral